AGAGAGAGACAUGCGCGCAUAUCAAUAAGCGGAGGAAAAGAAACUAACAAGGAUUCCCCUAGUAACGGCGAGUGAAGCGGGAAGAGCUCAAAUUUGAAAUCUUAAAGGGUUUCCCUUUACGAAUUGUAGUUUAAAGAAGUGUUUUCUGUUGAGGUUUUGGUAAAAGUUCUUUGGAAUAGGACAUCAUAGAGGGUGAGAAUCCCGUAUUUGACCUUUACUUUCAACUUUGUGAUACACUUUCAAAGAGUCGGAUUGUUUGGGAAUGCAGUCCAAAAUGGGUGGUAAAUUUCAUCUAAAGCUAAAUAUUGGCGAGAGACCGAUAGCGAACAAGUACCGUGAGGGAAAGAUGAAAAGAACUUUGAAAAGAGAGUUAAACAGUACGUGAAAUUGUCAAAAGGGAAGCGUUUGACACCAGUGUUGUUUUUCUGAAAAUCAAUUAAAGAACUGUUUAUGCUAAGUUGUUUAGACUUUAUCAGCUAACUGUUUAGUUUUGAGCUUUUCUUUAAUGCACUUUUCAGUUAACAAGUCAACAUCAAUUUCUUUUGCUGUAAAAAAGCUUGAGGAAGGUGGCUUGAGAUUCGUCUUAAGUGUUUAUAGCCUCUUGCCUAUGCAGUCGGAGAGAUUGAGGUCUGCAGCGUAGAUCCUUCGGGGCUAAAUGCGUUUGUGCUAAGUUUAUAGCAUUUUAUAGACAACUUGUUGACUAUGAUUUGUCUUGUAGCUUACUCGCUUAUGUUAUUUUACCUACGCUUAGGAUGUUGAAGACUCUACAGAGAUA
Molecule: ribosomal RNA, 775 nt
Filed under: uncultured Neocallimastigales
Lineage: Eukaryota; Fungi; Neocallimastigomycota; Neocallimastigomycetes; Neocallimastigales
Description: partial large subunit ribosomal RNA
Rfam family: Eukaryotic large subunit ribosomal RNA
Source: RNAcentral